RNAcentral lists this ribosomal RNA (497 nucleotides) under uncultured bacterium. Its description in RNAcentral is "partial 16S ribosomal RNA". It matches the Rfam family "Bacterial small subunit ribosomal RNA", at positions 28 to 507 of the family's 1533-position model. The record is from RNAcentral.
GAUGAACGCUGGCGGCGUGCCUAAUACAUGCAAGUCGAGCGAACAGACGAGGAGCUUGCUCCUCUGACGUUAGCGGCGGACGGGUGAGUAACACGUGGAUAACCUACCUAUAAGACUGGGAUAACUUCGGGAAACCGGAGCUAAUACCGGAUAAUAUAUUGAACCGCAUGGUUCAAUAGUGAAAGACGGUUUUGCUGUCACUUAUAGAUGGAUCCGCGCCGCAUUAGCUAGUUGGUAAGGUAACGGCUUACCAAGGCAACGAUGCGUAGCCGACCUGAGAGGGUGAUCGGCCACACUGGAACUGAGACACGGUCCAGACUCCUACGGGAGGCAGCAGUAGGGAAUCUUCCGCAAUGGGCGAAAGCCUGACGGAGCAACGCCGCGUGAGUGAUGAAGGUCUUCGAAUCGUAAAACUCUGUUAUUAGGGAAGAACAAAUGUGUAAGUAACUAUGCACAUCUUGACGGUACCUAAUCAGAAAGCCACGGCUAACUACGUG